GAUGAACGCUAGCGGGAGGCUUAACACAUGCAAGCCGAGGGGUAUGAUACUUUCGGGUAUCGGAGACCGGCGCACGGGUGCGUAACGCGUAUGUAACUUGCCCUGAUCAGUAGGAUAGCCCAGGGAAACUUGGAUUAAUACUGCAUAACACUAUUUGUGGCAUCAUAAAUAGUUGAAAGAUUUAUCGGAUCAGGAUAGACAUGCGUCAGAUUAGCUAGUUGG
RNAcentral lists this ribosomal RNA (222 nucleotides) under uncultured bacterium. RNAcentral's name for it is "partial 16S ribosomal RNA". It matches the Rfam family "Bacterial small subunit ribosomal RNA", at positions 28 to 252 of the family's 1533-position model. The record is from RNAcentral.